This 379-nucleotide transfer-messenger RNA is filed under the name Alphaproteobacteria bacterium. It matches the Rfam family "Alphaproteobacteria transfer-messenger RNA". From Rfam's summary of the family: Bacterial tmRNA, also known as 10Sa RNA or SsrA, is named for its dual tRNA and mRNA-like properties. The record is from RNAcentral. Lineage: Bacteria; Pseudomonadati; Pseudomonadota; Alphaproteobacteria.
AAACUUGCAAUUUCCAGUCUAAAAGAGUAUAAUUGAUGGGCCACGCGAGUGGUGAUGAUUCUGAAGCCUUUGUGCAAUAGUCAUUUUGGACUGGGGGGCGGUACCCCACAGCUCCACCAUUAUUUGAUAUGAUUUUUGGUCGUAUUUGAUUAUGGGGCUGACAUAGAUUCGACAGAUGAUGAAAGACAAAAUGGUUGAAUCCGACAUGGUGUCGUUAAAAACCAACUAAAAACUGAAUGGCGAUAGAAUCGCUGCGAACGACAAUGUUCGCCUUGCAAUGGCUGCCUAAUAUGGCGUUGAAUACGGUUGGCGAUUGUUAGCCGUGUUCGUUUAAGCAAUUGCGGGGUUUGCCGGUACCUGGCACCAGAAAUCCGGCGUU